GCGAGUCUUGUAGCAUACAAGGCGGACGGCUCAGUAACACGUAGUCAACCUAACUCGUGGACGUGGAUAACCUCGGGAAACUGAGAAUAAACCACGAUAGAUCAUAGUGCCUGGAAUGGCUUAUGGUCCAAACAGUUUACUGCCAUGGGAUGGGACUGCGGCCUAUCAGCUUGUUGGUGAGGUAAUGGCCCACCAAGGCGAUUACAGGUACGGGCUCUGAGAGGAGAAGCCCGGAGAUGGGUACUGAGACACGGACCCAGGCCCUAUGGGGCGCAGCAGGCGAGAAACCUUAGCAAUGUGCGAAAGCACGACUGGGUCAGUCCGAGUGAUUCCUGAUAAAGGAGUCUUUUGCUUGUCCUAAAAGCACAGGUGAAUAAGGGGUGGGCAAGUCUGGUGUCAGCCGCCGCGGUAAUACCAGCACCUCGAGUGGUCAGGACGUUUAUUGGGCCUAAAGCAUCCGUAGCCGGCUCUGCAAGUCUUCGGUUAAAUCCACCUGCUCAACAGAUGGGCUGCUGGAGAUACUACAGAGCUAGGGAGUGGGAGAGGCAGACGGUAUUCAGUGGGUAGGGGUAAAAUCCUCUGAUCCAUUGAGGACCACCAGUGGCGAAGGCGGUCUGCCAGAACACGUUCGACG
This 634-nucleotide ribosomal RNA is filed under the name uncultured archaeon. RNAcentral's name for it is "bacterial SSU rRNA". It matches the Rfam family "Archaeal small subunit ribosomal RNA", at positions 53 to 696 of the family's 1478-position model. The record is from RNAcentral.